This 564-nucleotide ribosomal RNA is filed under the name Penicillium sp. Its description in RNAcentral is "partial large subunit ribosomal RNA". It matches the Rfam family "Eukaryotic large subunit ribosomal RNA", at positions 91 to 664 of the family's 3401-position model. The record is from RNAcentral. Lineage: Eukaryota; Fungi; Ascomycota; Eurotiomycetes; Eurotiales; Aspergillaceae.
GAGUGCCACGGCAUCAGCUCAAUUUGAAAGCUGGCUCCUUCGGGGUCGGCAUUGUAAUUUGAAUAGGAUGCUUCGGGAGCGGUCCCCAUCUAAGUGCCCUGGACAGGGACGUCAUAGAGGGUGAGAAUCCCGUAUGGGAUGGGGUGUCCGCGCCCGUGUGAAGCUCCUUCGACGAGUCGAGUUGUUUGGGAAUGCAGCUCUAAAUGGGUGGUAAAUUUCAUCUAAAGCUAAAUAUUGGCCGGAGACCGAUAGCGCACAAGUAGAGUGAUCGAAAGAUGAAAAGCACUUUGAAAAGAGAGUUAAAAAGCACGUGAAAUUGUUGAAAGGGAAGCGCUUGCGACCAGACUCGCUCGCGGGGUUCAGCCGGCAUUCGUGCCGGUGUACUUCCCCGCGAGCGGGCCAGCGUCGGUUUGGGCGGUCGGUCAAAGGCCUCUGGAAGGUAACGCCCCUUCGGGGGCCUCAUAUCCGAGGGGGCGCUGUGACGUGUGCCCAGAGAGAAGAACGCUUUUGGUCUCACACUGGGGUAUUGUGGUCAUACGAGACCCCUCGUGACAACAGAGCACA